UUUUUUUUUUUUUUUUUUUUUUUGUGAACAACUUUAGAGGAUGAACGAAGAACAGUGGAAUGGGUGGAAGCUGAUAGAUGAUGAAAGUGAUAUCUGAAGGAUUGACAGAAAAGCAAGGGGGUCAGAGAAUUCAAGGGGAUUUUUUUUGGGAGAAAAAUCUGGAAAGUGGGUGCUAGGUUUUGGUGGCAGUUGAGGGAUUUUAGAUGGAAGAAAAAAAAAAAAAAGUGAGCUGAGAUUUGAGGGAGGGUCAAAAUUAAUCAUUUUCUAUGAGUGAAAUGGUGAGUUGAGAUAAGUGGAGAAGAGGCUCACGAGUUCUUGGGUUCCAGAGAAUAAGGACUUCCAACAUCUUCCCUAAAGUAAGUUCUCCAUUAUGAUUUUUUUUUUCUUUCAUCUGCUAUUAUUAAGAUGUGUUGUUGUUGAUCUUUGGGUGAUUCAUGGAUUCUUUUUAAUAGUUAAUGGCUCAUUUUUUGCUCGUGUUUGUGUUCAAAAAUUGAUCCAACUCAUUUUUAUCUCCUUUGUGACAUUUAGAAAUCCUUUUAAUCCACCUAUCUUAAAGCCCACUGACUAAGACAUGAAGUGUGGCUUUUGAUGAUUCAUCUUAUUUUCUUCAUUUGUGCUAUGUUUUUUCUAUUUUCUCCCUGCUCCUGGUGUUUGUGCAUUCUUGGGUAUGGGACCGUACGCUGGGAUGUGAAACCAUAGGAUAAUGAUGUUGACAAGAAAGAGCUUAAGGUAGGAUGAAUCUCUAGACCCUAAGUUAGAUUCGUUACAAGACUAUAGCUGCUGGUGGCGAGGCUCGGAAUGACGAUAGGGAGGCACUUGGCGAGUCCAUUUGCGAGUAAGGGAGAGCAAAAAUGGAGGAUGGUGGGUUAGAUUAUGAGGACCGGGAAUUCAAGAACGUGGAGGAGAUGUAGAGAACUGAAAUCGGAGAUGGAAUAGAUCCUCACAAGAAAAUCGAUUGGUACCAUAAAGGCAUCGACUAUUGGGAAGGUGUGGAGGCAUUGAUGAAUGGUGUGUUGGGUGGAUACAGCCAUGUGAAUGAUGUGGAUGUUAAGGGCAAUGAAGUUUUCCUUAAAACACUUUUUUUUUAGCGGUUCAUUGAUGCUAGAAAGAUUCAGCAUCUUAUUGCCCUAUAUUGUGGUUUCUGGCAUCGGGAGAGUGACUAAGAAUCUUCUUAUAAGGUAUUUUAAUGAGGUUGAUCUUGUUGAGCCAACAUCACAUUUCUUAGAGGCUGCUCGUGAAACUUUGGCUUCUAGAAAGCUUAUCUUUUCGGACAUGCACAAGGCAACCAACUUUUAUUGUGUUCCACUUCAAGACUCUACUCCAGAAGCAGGGAAAUAUGAUGUUAUAUGGAUUCAGUGGUGUAUUGGGCAGCUUGCAGACGACGAUUUCAUUUCAUUCUUUAAGAGAGUAAAGGUUGGACUGAAACCUGGGGGAUUUUUUGUCCUGAAAGAGAACAUUGCAAGAUCUGGGAUUUGUGUUGGACAAAGCAAAUAAAAGCAUUACCCAGUUAGAUUUAUACUUCAAGGAGUUGAUAGCUCACUAAUAACAUGAAGCAAAGCACGGUUUAAGCAAAUGGAGAAUGACAAGUCAAUAGUGGCAUGGGAAUUUUCACAAGUGGUAAGGGCACUUCAAAUUUUCUGAAUAAAUAACACCCUUCAAUGUGUGGGUCUAGUUGUGGCAAAUGCAAAUUGUUGACUUUGGGAAGAUGAUUAAAAAUCAAGAUAACCCUCAUGGUGAAAAAUUAUUCUUUAUCAUCAUGUGUCAAAGUUUAAUUUCCGUAAAUUCUCUUUUAAAUGAUUCUUAAAAUUCCGGUUUCUCCAAUAAUCUUAUUUAUAUUCCAAUUUUCAAAUUUAAUUCAUAAAAAUUCCAUUUUAAAAAUAAUUUUCCAAAAUUUCAAUUUUCAAAAUUUAAUUUCCAAAACUUCUAUUUUCAAAUAAUUGCCCAAAAUUCCAAUUCUCAAUUAAUUUUCAAAACUCCAAUUUCUUUCAAAUUUAAUUUCCAUAACUCCAAUUCCUAAAUCUAAUUUUCAAAACUCCAAUUCUCAAUUAAUUUUCAAAAUUCCAAUUCUUAAAUUUAAUUUUCAAAACUCCAAUUUUCAAAUAAAUUUCAAAACUCUAGUUUUCUUUUGAAUAGUUUUAAUUUCACUCCAAUUUUCAAAUAUUUUUCAAUUCUACAACUUUUCAUCCUUUAUUAGGGUUUUAGGUCACAAAAAAUCCUGAUUUUAAUAAGUCUGUUGACAUCCUCAUUUUGGCAUGCACUUGUACAAAUUUUCUUCGAUUUUCAAAUGAUUUUCUGUUUCUCUUGAUUUUAAAUAAGCAUGAAGGCAAUUUUCAUAAUUUCAAAAUAAUGGAAUUUGUGAGAUUAAUUCAUGCAAAAUCAAUUGGGCUUUAGUGGGGGCCCAAUAUAAGAGUUUUCUAUUUUGAUUGUCAACUGCUAUGCUUAAUGAAUAUUGUUUGAUCAUUGUCUUGCUCUUUGAUAUGCAUGUGAUAUAUUUUGUAUUCAUUAUUGUGUACUAACUCUGUUUCAUGGUAGCGCUUUAUUACUUGCUACCAAGGUAUGUUCUUACUCUCACUUUAUUUAUUUAUUCGUUAUCAUGACUUGCUUUUGAUCUAUGAUCAUUUUGGUAUUCAUUGAUCUCCUAAUUAAUUGUUAUAUUUGUUUCACCUUAUUUAGUAGAGACCCAUUUUUAGGGGUUUAGAAGGGUGUUACGGUUUUUACUGUACCUUCCUAAUAAGUAACCUAACCCCCGAAUCCAAACUCAUUUUUUCAUAGAUCUGUUUUUUCCAAAUAAUGAGUCAUAAUUAGGGUUUUCUUUAUUAUUUUGUUUUCCCUUAAAAAAAAUAAAACAAAAAUAAGUGGCGACUCCAAGUCUUUUAAAAAAAAAAUCAUAUUUUUCACCAAAUAAAUAAAAAGCGAGUUUCGCCAUCGAGUGGGAACGCAUUGUGCUAAAAUACGGGGUCCACACACCUCAAAUCUUGAAGUUUAAGACACUUAAGGUUGGUUAAAAGAUAUGUUAUUUUAUCUUUGAUCUUAGAUGGGUUUCCUUGGAAAUGUUUAGAAAUGGAGAAAAUUAUAGUAGUAACUACAUCCUCUAUGUCUUCUUCUUCUUAGUCUUUGACUAUUUCAUUUUCUGAAAUGGUUCUAUAGAUUUUUAAUCUAGAGUUCAUAUUGUCUUAUGUGAGAUAACUGUCUCGCCAUCCUUUUAAUUGACCUUUAAAUGCAACAAUAAGAGUUUGGGUAAUAACAUGGUUUGACUAUUUAUUGUUUAACUUAUAGGUUGUGUUGAACAUAAUCAUUUCUUGAAGUUUUGUUAAUAUGUUAUACUCGGUCACACAAUCUAUGUUCCAUUCAUAAAUGGUUCUAUUAAUACAAAAAGCUUGAUCAUACUGAUUCAUUUCCUCAAAUUGCAUAUCAAUGAAGGUUGAUCUUGGGUAAAAAAUAUUAAUCCUAGAGAUUGCUUUAUUCUAAUUUAAUUUUUUUUAUUAGUUCAUCAGUUUCAACAUAAGAAUUAUAGUCUUUAUUAAUAACAAUAAUUAUCCUCAAAUAAGAAAAUUGUGGUGUGUCUAAAAUAAUUAAAUUUUCUUUUACCUUUUCACUUAUUCUUUUGAUUAGAUCUUGGUUUGGUAUAAGAUUUUCUUGAAAUUUCUUAGAUAAUUCAAAUGACUUGAAUAAAGGCUUAUCAUCGUUUUUAAUAAAGGUUGUCUUAAUGUGUUUUUAGCUUUAGAUGACUUCUUCUAUUUUAUUGAGUUGAUCUCCUAGAGAUUUUAUAUUAAUCUCUAAUUUUAUUUCAUACUAUAUUUAACCAACCAAAUAUAACCGUAAGGAAUUCUGCUCUAUUUUAUCUCUCAAAUACGAUUGAGGUUACUUUAGUAAUGUAAUGACACCAUUUCUUUAAAUUAUAAUUCUAUUUGAGAGAGUUUCUAAAACAUUAAAGGCAACAUUUCAAAUAUUAAAUUAAUUGAUCUCUUGAGUAUCCAAGAGACUCCUAAAAGUGCAAUGCUUUGCUGCUAAGAGUGUAAGUAAAGCCGAAAAAACCAAUAAACCGAUCCAAACCAACCAAAAUUGAUCAUAGUUUGACUUUCAAAAAUAAAAAGGUCGGUUUGGUUUGAGAAUUUUGAAAAUUGAUUUUGUCGAUUCGAUUAUUGAUUUUCUUAUCUCCUAAUUGAUAAAAACCGAACCAAACUAAUAUCCUAAAACUUAUAUAUAAUUAUUUGAUAUUUGUUAUUUUUUUUUAUAUUAAAUUCUAUUAAAGUAAUGUUAAUAUAUUUUUAACAUUAAAUCCAAGUUAAUUUCAAUUAAUUUUAAAAACAAAUUAGACUUAGGUCUAAUAUAAACUCAAAUUAAUAGGAUUUGAGAUCAAAACAAGCACAAAUCUACAACUAAAUUUAGGAUUAAAAAAGGUUAAUAAGUUGGGUAAAAGCCGAUCCACAAAAACCAAAUUAAAUCGACCUCAAAAGGCUUGGUUUGGUUCGGUUUUUUCACUCCAACUAUGGUUGGUUCGAUUUUUAUCACAUAAAAAACCGAUUAUAUUGGUUCAGUUCAUUUUUUAUCCAAAAACCUAUCGAACCGAUUUUAUUUACACCCCUAUUUGCUGCAAUGUUUUCCUAGCACAUUUUAUUAUUGCGUUAUAUUGUAUUAGUAAGAUAAUGUGCUCCAACAAAGUGCACUUCAACGAUUUAAGACUAGUGAGUGUACAAGGAUGGUCAUAGAUCAAACUAGAUUAUUUUUCUUUCCUAGAAACUAACCUAAAGAAAAAAACUCUAUGCUCAGUAAUAUCGAUUGAGAUUUUACAUACUAUUUAUUGUAAGCCCCAAUGCUUAAGGUGCUUACUCCUAUUACUUUAUUUUCAAAAGAAUUUCGGUCAUGUUUCCAUUUUUAUUUUUCCUUAAAUAGGAAUGAAUUUGGUAAUUUGAUUACAAUAUUUUUGUUUUAAAUAGAAAGAAAAGUUUGAUAUUUCCAUUCUUGUUUGGAUGCAUAUAGAAAUGGAAUGGGUAUUUGUUUAGUUUCAAUAUUAAGUAACAACAUAAAUGAGAAUGAAAAAAAAAUGAUAAUAAUAUCUAUACAUAUAGUUUAAAAUAAUAUAUAUAUAUAUAUAUAUAUAUAUAUAUAUAUAUAUAUAUAUAUUUUAAAAGUUCUCACAAUGUACAUAGUUUUAAAAUAAUUUUUUAUUUUGAUUUAAAAAAUAAUAUCUUUGAAACUUUUUUUUGCUAAAUGAUAAAAACCUAUUUGAGCUUGUGAUUUAAUAUAUAUAUAUAUAUAUAUAUAUAUAUAUAUUUAAAAAAAAUAAUAAUACCAUUUUUAGUUGUUGUUCAUGAGAAACAAAUUUUAAAAGCAAAGUAAUCAAUUUAAUAAUUUUUAAAAAUGGUAUUAACAAUUAUUUAUUUUAGAAACAACUUAUCUAAAAAAAGUUUUUAUUUUAAAAUUUUUUUAAAAAUAACUUGCACCAAUAAAUCAAAAUACUUUCUUAUAAGUAAGAUAUUAUUUCCUUCAUAAUCAUUUUUAAUUUAAUUCCUCUUCUUAUUUCAAUUACUCAAUAGAGGAAUGAAUAAGAAACGGGAUGAAAUAUCAUUCCCCCUUUACAUUCUCACGUAUCAAACAUGUUUCUUACUAUAGUAAGAAUGAAAAGAGAUCGUAUCAUCUCUCUACCCCAUUCACAUUGUUGUAUAUGUUAUUUGUAUCUAGGUUAAAUCAUAAUCUUUUUGAAGGCUUAUAUUAACAAUCCUUUUAUUGAACACUUUUGAUAAAGUAUAAUCCUUCUAAUAAGUUUGGAAUGAUUAAAUUUUCAAUUUCCUAGAGAAAGGAAUGAAUACAAGCCCAUUGGUGAAAUCAAAAUAAUCGAUUUGAAACUUUCUUAGAUCAAAAGUUUCGACAACAAACCUUUAAGCUCCACAAACCCCUCAAAUGAAAAUCAAAGAACCUCUAAUUUAAAGCUUAAGUAAUUCUAUGAUUGAGUUAACCUGUAGUUAGAAAUUUUAUUUGUAGAAGAAUAUUUGAGUAGCCCCAAGGAUAAAAGAUAAGAGAUCUCAUAGGUGAUCCUAAUGAAUAGCAUUUGGUGCAUGAUGUGCAAAGAUGAUUUUCAUGUUUUUUUAAUUAUAGGACUAAAUGAAUUAUGCAAUUUUGAUAGGUACCAGGUUUGAAUAAAAUUCUCAAUCAUGAGCACAAUAAUUUGUAACGUGAUGUAUCCAUAUUUCUGAGACAUCUCAAAGAAGUAAGAAAUUCAUAUUUUUUUCUUUUAACAUAACAUGUGGAGUAGAUAUUUAUAAAAUCUCAACUCGAAACAGUACAUGAUUCUAUAAUAAUACAAAUCACACUUAGUGAAUUCGGUUUUUAUUAAUAUAAAAUAUUUAUAACUCAAAAAUUGGAUUGAAAUUUUUAAUAUUUUUUUUUUCAAAUAAACUAGUAAAAUUGAUUUUUUUUUUUAAAACUAACUUGUUUCGAUUUGGUUAAUUGUUUUAAUUAUUCCUAGUUCUCCCAUUAUUAAGAAAAAGAAAAAUUCCAAUAAAGUUAUUCGUUCCCAAAUUCACAAGCAAACAUUGCGGCCCAUUUUUAGGCCCAAAGAAAGGCCCAUUGGUUCUGAGUUUACAAUGUUGGUGAAGUAGUUGUCACUUGUCAAUACUAUCACACCCUUAUUUUAUCUUCUCUUUGUGCUCUCUAUACCAUCUUCCCCUUCCUCAUUUCAGGGUCUGCUUAAACCCUACUCUCUCCACUGCUCCAAACCCUAGAUUCUGAAGGAGGUAUGAACCCUUCUCUUCUCACAGCUCCUCCUCCUUCUCAACACUCCUCUCCCUUUCUCAAUCCCACACCUUUCCGCUUCUCAACAACCUCCCUCACAAGACGACGUCGUUAUCGAAUCUCACUCAUUCGGAGCUCAUCCACCCCUCCCGACCCUCUCACCUCGUCACCCCCCUCCGUCACAUCCGAUGUCUUCGGCGGCCGGAGGGAGCUCUCGGGGAUUCAGCCUUUGGUCGACAGCUUGUCGCCGCCUCUCAGGCUAGUUAGCUCCGCUCUCAUUGUAGCUGGCGCCAUCGCCGCCGGGUACGGCCUGGGGUUUCGGUUCGGGAAAUCUCGGAACACCGCAUUGGGCGGUGCUGUGGCUAUUGGAGCGGCCGGUGGUGCGGCUGCGUAUGCGUUGAACGCUUGCGUUCCGGAGGUUGCCGCGGCGAAUUUGCAUAAUUACGUCGCCGGAUGUGAUGACCCUGGGGCUGUGAAGAAGGAAGAUAUUGAAGAAAUUGCGAAUAAGUGAGUAAUCGUGAUUGUUGUUUCUUUCAUUACCCAUAUCUGUGUACACAUUUCGCAUUAGGGAAAGCAUAAUUCUACUUCAAUAAGACCAAGAAUGCAUUUACAGAGAAAUAUACAUCUUGCAAUUUUUAGUUUAGUAUGAUAGUUCUUUGAAUCGACUGUCCAAUUUAUCGCAGGAAGCCUAAAACCUCAUCCAUUUCUCAAUGCUUAAUUUACAGGUAUGGUGUUAGCAAACAGGAUGAAGCAUUUAAUGCAGAGCUUUGUGACUUGUAUUGCCGGUGAGUACAUCUCUAGAGUAUAAGGUGUGCAUCCUUGUUUUCAAUACGCAGACUGCAGUAUUCAAGUUCAUGGGGUAUGGGCGGUGGUUAAUUGUGGGAGCAACAAGCAUGGGUACAUCCCAAUUUAAUAUUCAGAAAUAUCUCAAUGGUCAGGCAGCCCUAAGCUAGUUUUCUGUAGUCUGAAAAAGUAAUUUUGUUUCUCCCUUAAUUUAUUUCCACCUGGGCAUUUAUAUCUGUUAAUCUUUUCAUUAUUAUCUAGUGUUGUUGCUUGUCAAAUUUCUGUUUACAGUUAUCCGAAUCAAAUUUAUGCUGUGUUGAUUCUAUUGAUGAGUUAUGCUAUGAUGUUUCUUGGAAUCAUCAGAAUAUAGUUGAGCUUUGCCUAUAAUUUUUCAGGUUUGUAACUUCUGUCGUUCCUCCGGGGAGUGAAGAUCUCAAAGGUGAUGAAGUUGACACAAUUAUCAAAUUUAAAAGUUCUCUUGGAAUUGAUGAUCCAGACGCAGCAGCCAUGCAUAUGGAGGUAUUCUUUCAUUAGUUGUUGUAAGAUUAAAAUGUUUUUGGUCUUACAUGAAUCAGGGGUUGUUUAUAUUUUUCUCAAAUUCAGUUGUAAAUUUUGUUGCUACAGAUUGGUAGGCGAAUUUUCAGGCAAAGGCUUGAAACUGGGGAUCGUGAUGGUGACAUAGAGCAGCGUCGGGUCAGUUAUUUGUAGUUGUAUCUCUUGACAACUUUGAUUUUUAAUCUACUUAUAUGAUUUCUGAAUGGAGAUAUGGAGCUUGACCAUUAUUAGUAAGUCUCCAGUGCAGGCAUUUCAGAAGCUGGUUUAUGUCUCAACUCUUGUGUUUGGUGAAGCAUCAAAAUUCCUUUUACCUUGGAAACGUGUUUUCAGGGUUACUGAUUCUCAGGUAUGUAGUCAUGAAUUGCUUUUUGUGUUUAGUUCAGUUACUAAUAUUCUGCAAUCUCGUUCCUGUAUGUUUGAUAGAUAUUUAUUAAUAGCAUCCCUAAUUGUCAACAACACCAAUCCUGUUCUUCUGUUUUAGAUUAUUAAAAGUUGAUGGUGGUGCCUAUUUCAUAUCUUUACAUGGAUCACGUGGUUUUCCCUCACUAAAAGUCUCUCCAGUUUUUCCUGAUGUUAAUACUAAACUUUCUGCCUGCCAGGUUGAGGUUGCUGUCCGUGAUAAUGCACAGCGGUUGUAUGCCUUCAAGCUAAAAUCAGUUGGCAGAGGUAAAUGCACAAUGCUUUAACGCCUCAAACAAUGAUAAUGCUCGUCUUAAGUGUGGUAUUGUAAUUGUAGAUUCAAUAUGAAACAAAAUAAUGUGUAUACCAUCACUGUUUUGUGUGAUGAGCCUAUUUUGUGCAUUGUGCACUUGGGACGUGGGAUUCUUGUUUUCAAGCUACUUUAGGGGCAAUGCUGGAUGCUACUUGGCCCAUUUGAAGUAAGAAGAUUGGCUGGGAAGGUCAUACUCUGUUAAUCAAGCAGUUGCUAAGACAAAAUGUCUAGGAUACUUUUAGAGAGAUUGAUGAGCAAACUUAGAAACUGUUUGGGAGUGAUUUUAAAAGGGUUGAAAGCGCUUUCCAAUGCCUAGAAGCGUGUUUCAAGGCUUGGAAGCACUUUCUUUGCAAAAAAUCGAAGCUAACAAAAUUUGAAAAAUCAUUUUCAAGAAUAUAGAGUCAAUUGAAAUAAUUUUUGGACUAAUACUCGGUAGGUGCUCCUUUCAAAAUUUAUUUUCUUUUCCAUGUGAUAUAUAUUCUAGAAAAAAUCAUCAAUUUUUUUUUUUUUAAAUCCAAAUUAAUUAUCCUUAAAUUUGUUUCUAAUAGAAGUGUUAUUCACUAAAGUGCUACUAGCUAAAAGCGCCUUUAGUAGAAUCAUUCUCAAAUGGGCGCAUAGUUCCAAAAGGUAAGUACUAAAAUAUAGUCAAUAUUUUUCUUCCUAUAGGGGGGAUAUUAUUUUGCUGUGGUGGGGGGUUUGGUUUUGUACUGGGUGGGGCACAAGGUUGUCUAUGUCAAUUAGAAUGAAAAAAGAAAAAAUAUAGGAUAUAAAAGAACAGGAAAAAAUAAGGAGGGGAUCUAGCAAAUAUGCUAUACAACUAUAGACAGUGAAACGAGGAGAGAAAACCUGUAAAGUUGAAUGUUUUAAGAGGUAGAAACCUGUAAUGUGCAACAAUUAAUAUGAUGAUAGUUACAAGAAAAUAUAUAACAUCUAGUUUGGCCUGGAAAUUUUAUUAGGAAGGAUCUCAAGGAUCAGCAAAUGCCCCUAUUGUUUGUUUUGAUGCAUCAUCUGCAAGAGUGAAAUAGUAAAUUUUUGAAGGCUUUGAGUCCUUGAAACUGAAGCUGAGGUGUGGUUUUAUGCUUUAAUUGAUAAAGAAUAGUUUGCUGUAAUUAAAGUUGCUGGUUAUGAAGGCUGGAGCAAUAUUGCUAUGCAUCAAUGAUAUGUCUUUUUGAAACUGAAGAUUGAGCAAUUCAGACAUUUUUGUGACUACUUAAUCUGUAAUAUGCUGUGAUAUGGUGGGGUUGCCUACCUUAAUAAUUAUUUUAUCCCAUUCAUCAUAGAUGAACCAGGAAUAAUUUGUUAGUGACUUAAUUUCUUUGAUUGGUGAUAAUCUUUAUUUAUUAUAAUGUUGAAAUCCAUUCUAAAAGCAUAUACUAGUCAUACUUGAUAUGCUCCAUGAGCACUAAUAAAAUUGAAAUAUUUGUUUAGAUGUUGAUGUGAAUCAGCUUGUUAGCCUUAGAGAGGCGCAACUUUCUUGUCUGCUUUCCGACGAGGUACCUCCAAAAUUUUUUGCGAUAAAUAGACUUCUGCAUGGUUGAUGUCUUAUAAUUGUUUCUUCACUUGGUAGAUUCUGUCUGUGACAGCUUGCUGAGGAUAUGUUUAAGGAGCAUACAAGAAAACUGGUUGAGGAAAACAUUUCAACAGCGCUAAGUAUAUUAAAGUCUAGGACGAGAGCAGUGUAUGAUUACUACUCCUUUAUUCUAAAGCAACUUAUAAGUGUAUCCAUGUAUUGUGGAACCUAUCAGAUAUUCUUUUCUUUGGUGAAAGCAGUUCUAUGCAUCAUUUUAAAAAAUUAAAAAACAGUCUGAUUGAAUCUUACUUCAGGGAUGUGUAUGUGAGAGCAUGCAUGUUCUCGGACUUACUUUCCGUUGUAAAUAAUUGACUGUGCAUAAGAAGUUUUGAUUCAUCUCUUGUCUGGGCUUUGUAUAUUCUUUGUAGUUUGGUAGUUGUAGCAUUUGCCCUAUCUUAUAAAAUUAGGUUAUUCAGCAGGGGAGCUACACAAGUUGUGGAAGAGCUUAAUAAAGCACUGGCAUUUAAUAAUUUGCUAAUCUCAUUGAAGAAUCAUCCAGAUGCAGGCCGCUUUGCUUGUGGGGUCGGGCCAAUUUCUUUGAUGGGUAAGGAUGAUAGCUAAAAAUUUGCCUUUAAGUUCUCAUGGUCCUGAUGUAUUUUUAGCAUUCUGAACCUUGUAGCUGUUAUCAAUUUAUAUCUUUCACUUAGGUGGUGAGUAUGAUGGUGACAGAAAGAUGGAUGAUUUGAAGCUUCUAUAUAGAGCAUAUGUUGCUGAUUCUUUAUCAAGUGGUCGUAUGGUGGAAAAUAAGGUGAGAAACUCUACUUCUAGUCUCUAUGUCCUGUGGCAAAUGUCCUGGCUUUUUAAACUAAACUUUUAAUUCUGAUAGAUUUUGAAGGGUAGUUCUUGUUAUGGCAUAAUACGUCUCUGACCCAAAUCUGUCUGUUGGAUAAUUCUUCUUUGGAAGUCCCUUUUAUUUGAACCAUUCUGUGUACCUGUGUAGUGAUAUGUAGAUGAUAAUACCGAACCAAGUGAACUAAGUAACUGUAAUCUUUAUAGUUUUCUUUGGACUUGAGAGAAAAGAAGAGAAACCUUUAGAAGCCCAUUUCCCUUUGUUCAAUUUGUGAAUAAGGGCAAAAGAAGAGAAAUUAGUAAUUAACUGGCAGAAAAUUUUCUCUAUGGCCCCACCAAAACUACUACUUCAAAAGUGAGGUCAUUUGGAGAAGGGAAAUUGGGUUCAACAUCUCUGGGACUAGGUACAAGCCCUUUAUACAAGAUCUUGGAUGAAGCCUAUCCUUUCUUUCCCCUUGCUUUGUCUCCAUUUCCCUUUUCUGUAGGAUUCCUCACCAUUUACCUUAGGAUCUUUCUCUACUUCUGUUCAUAACUGAACAAAAUACUCAAAACCUCUCUCUCCAUUUUCUCUUCUAUUCUCAUUUUUAGAGGUUCCAAACUGUUUUAAUCUGCCUUCAUUUCUUGUUAAGACAUCUUUAUCACUUGGAUGUGCAGUGUGGGUGUGAACUACUAUGCUUAAAAGGUAACUAGUACUACGAUUUUCUUAUUUGAUGUUAGAAAGGCCUUAGCACUUCACACCAUCAAAAUGGAUCCCUAGGCUCAUCUAUGUUUUUGUCUUUGUUUAGAGCUGAGUUGCUUCCAGUUUGUUCUAUUAUCCCUAGGCUCAUCUAUAAGUUGCUUUUGGUAAAAUGAAAGAACUUUAAUAAAAGCUGCUAGACACCUUAGGGCUUCUCACCUUUCUGGGAACUUCAAUUCCCAGGGCCUCAAACUGGAAGUCGCAUGGGAAGGGGCCCUCUGUGACGGUGUUAUUGGCCAAACGGUUGUUUGUGGCUGGCUUUGUUAAUGUGUUUGAUAAUUGUUUAUGUUUUAUGUGACCCUUCUUUUAUUUAUUUAUUUAUUGUCGUUUUGUAGCUUGCUGCGUUGAAUCAAUUGAAGAAUAUAUUUGGUUUAGGUAAACGAGAAACAGAAGGCAUUAUGCUUGAUGUUACCUCAAAGGCAUAUCGUAAGCGACUUGCACAGUCUGUGUCUGGUGGUGAUUUAGAAGCUGCAGAUAGCAAAGCUGCCUUCCUCCAAAAUAUUUGUGAUGAGUUGCACUUUGAUCCAAAGAAGGCCAGUGAGAUCCAUGAAGGUAUUAUAGGAGCGAAAAUUUUAUGAUGCGCUGACACCACAAUCAGCAUAUGCUGUUUUACAUGUCACAUGCGCUAAUACUAGUAUAAGGUGUAACACUUGUCAUACUCUACUGGUACUAGUAGAGUGCAACAUGUUUUACAAGAUGCUGGAGGGAAAAGAAAAAAAACUAAAUGAAAAAUUCUAUGUCCUGUUUCUUAAUGUUGUUUGUCCCAAUUGUACCUUUCUUAUGUGCCAUAAAAGUGUCUGAUGUGCUCCAUUUUUUUUUCCAAAGAAAUUUAUCGGCAAAAGCUCCAGCAAUGUGUAGCUGAUGGAGAGCUGAAUGAGGAGGAUGUUGCCAUUUUGUUGCGGUUACGAGUCAUGCUCUGUGUUCCUCAGCAAACUGUUGAAGCAGCUCAUGCUGAUAUUUGUGGCAGCUUGUUUGAAAAGGUAAUAAUUUUUUCUUUAGUUCUUUUGUUUGUUAUAUAAGAUUCCUGCUUGUCAUUGUGCUGAAAUGCUUUUUGUCUGGACCAUCUCCUCUGUUGGUUUGCCUUCUAUGGUUUUAUUUCAAAAGAGGAAUCUAUGGGUUUAUGUAUUGAAUGAUAUAGCUCCAUCUCAUCUGAAGACCCUGUUAAAAAAAUCAGUAUAGCCCCGUCUCACUUUUAGUACCAUCACAUGCUUUUCAAUUUGUUGUUGUUAAUGAAGAAAUGGGAUUUUUUGUGGUCUCACAAUUUGGCAUUGGCCAGCAGCUCAAUAAUUCCCACACAGAUUGCUCAUGAAGCAGUAAUUGCCACUUUGAACGAUAUAUGAGUAUAAUCUGCAGUGUUGAGAUGAUAUUGUGAACAGUUUGCCCUUGCAACCUUGCUAGAUCCAAUAAGGUGGUAAUAGCUCGUGUCUGAUCAAAGGUCUGGCCUAUAGUUUGAGUCGUGAAAAGGUCUGGCCUAUAGUUUGAAUACUGUGGUUUGUCAGUAUGGUUGCCGGUUGGCAGAAAGGCAAAGUGAACAUUUUAUUUCUGUGGAUGUAUCCAGUAUGUUGUUGAUAUGGCUGACCACAUUGAAUGCAACAAUUAGCUAUUGCUAUUGUUUCUUGAUGGCAUGUUAGACCAAUGUUUUGAAAGUUAUGACAGGCCAAUUGUUUUAGGAAACACUCUGAUUAGUCAUUGUGGAUAAAAAUUGUUCAGUUUGGAUAGGAGUGGAUUCACUUGGAAUUGGAUGGUGUAAGAAAUAAUUAGGGUCAAGAUUAUUUGAUUGUGCUCUAGAUAGGCUAUGAAAUAAGGUUUAGAAAAGUUUAUUAAUUCAUGGCUUCAUCCAUAUUCCUAAAGUUUUGGAACUCCAAAGCAUUCUUCCUAAGGGAGUUAGUUUCUCUAGUUUAACUGUUGUAGAACCUUUUGAUAUGUAGCUUUACUUGAAGACCUGUUGAUUUCUUAUUGUGGUGUUUCUGUGUUCAAUUUUAACAUAGUAGAAAUUGUCGUUCUUAUUUUCUUUGUUAGCAAUCACUGAUUAUUCCUGCUAGUCUAUUGCCUAGAGGAUUGUUGAACUAAAGUAACUUAUUUUUCUUGUCUUUUCCAGGUUGUGAAGGAUGCAAUUGCUUCUGGUAUUGAUGGAUAUGAUGAUGAUGUUAAGAAAUCUGUGAGAAAAGCUGCUCAUGGCUUACGCUUAACAAGGGAGGCUGCCAUGUCUAUUGCUAGUACAGCAGUAAGUAUCCAAUCUGAUUGCUUUCUCUGUCUUUCCCCUUUGCCCCCUGUUUUUGUUCUUUUGUGGGAAAUUGGCAUUUGUUUGUUAAUCCUUUUCUUUGGAGAGGAAGGGAUGAGAGAGGGAGCUGAGUUUGGGGGGGAGACAGAGAAGAGGGAGGGGGAUGGAGGUGAUGGUGUGCUAUGGCACAACUAAAUAGCAUGCCAUCCAUCACAUCAAAAAAAUUUUAAGCAACAUAUUGUUGAACUACUAUAAUCUGUAGCUUUAGUUAACUACUAUAAUCUGUGCAGGUCCGGAAAAUUUUCAUGAACUAUGUAAAACGAUCACGAGCUGCUGGGAACCGUAUUGAAGCCGCCAAAGAACUUAAGAAGAUGAUAGCAUUCAACUCCUUGGUUGUGACUGAAUUAGUAGCAGAUAUAAAAGGAGAAUCAUCUGAUGCUGCUUCUGAAGAGCCUAUUAAGGAGGAAGAGGUACAAAUCGAAGAGGAUGAUGACUGGGAUUCCCUUGAGACACUCAGAAAAAUAAAACCCAGAGAGAAACUUACUGCAAAGUUGGGGAGACGAGGAGGGCAAACAGAGAUAACUCUUAAAGAUGACCUCCCAGAAAGAGAUAGGACUGACCUUUAUAAGACAUACUUAUUGUUCUGUCUGACUGGGGAAGUGACCAAGAUUCCGUUUGGGGCACAAAUCACCACAAAGAAAGAUGAUUCAGAGUAUCUUCUGCUGAACCAGCUUGGUGGAAUCCUAGGUUUGACUGAUAAGGAGAUUGUGGAAGUUCAUCGGAGCUUAGCAGAGCAGGCUUUCAGACAACAAGCUGAGGUGAUUUUAGCUGAUGGGCAAUUGACCAAAGCUAGGAUCGAGCAGCUCAAUGAGGUGCAGAAGCAAGUUGGACUGCCACCACAGUAUGCACAAAAGGUUAUAAAGAAUAUCACAACUACAAAAAUGGGAGCUGCCAUUGAAACUGCUGUCAGUCAGGGAAGGCUCAACAUAAAGCAGAUACGAGAACUCAAGGAAGCAAGUGUUGAUUUAGAUAGCAUGUUAUCUGAGAGCUUACGAGAGAACGUCUUCAAAAAAACUGUUGAUGAAAUGUUCUCAUCAGGCACCGGAGAAUUUGAUGGGGAGGAAGUCUAUGAGAAGAUCCCUUUAGAUCUCAACAUUAAUGCUGAAAAGGCAAAAGGGGUUGUUCAUGAGCUUGCACGAACUAGGUUAUCAAACUCCCUGAUUCAGGCUGUGUCCUUGCUCAGGCAGAGAAACAGUUCAGGGGUGGUAUGGUUUUCCCAACUUGGUUUCUUGUGACUUCAAUUAGAUGACUCCUUAAAUAUACUGUCAAUAGAGUUUGAAUGCAUAGCUAGAUCUAAUACAUGUUUCUGCUGUCUUCAGGUUUCCUCUCUUAAUGACUUGCUAGCUUGUGACAAAGCUGUACCCUCUGAACCGUUAUCAUGGGAGGUUACAGAGGAGUUGGCUGAUCUUUUUGCUAUAUACAUGAAGAGUGACCCAGCUCCUGAAAAACUGUCCCGCUUGCAGUACCUGCUGGGCAUAAGCGAUUCAACUGCAGCUACGUUGCGAGAGAUGGGAGACAGAGUACUGCAAAUCGGAACAGAGGAAGAGUUUGUAUUUUAGAUUCUGUAAUGAGAUGCAACGUUCUAAGCACAUGGCUCAUUUUUGUUUCCCCUUUUUUGGUCGGCCCCUUUUCUUCAGAAACGAGAAACAAUAGGGUGAUUAGUAGUGACAAUUUGCCAAUGCAGUCUGGGAUUCCAAAUAGGCAUGAAGGUAUCAAUAGAUGUUUAAUACCAAUUAUCGUGUGCGAAUAUUCUUAAAAAUAAAUAAAAUUCUCAAUGCUUGAUAUCCUGGGCCAUUGUUUUGUUUUUAGAAAUUUGAAGUUCAGUUAUAUGACUUAUAUCCUUAUGUUACAGAGCCCACCUCUGCAAUGUCUUAAAACCACCAAAGCUAGAUGAAGCACUCAUGGUUGAGUGGCCAGUUGUUGGAAGGGUUGGCUUUGAGUGGCUUUCUAACUUACUACCAAACUAGCCGGAGCCAUGUAAUUUAUUGUCUUCUGGUUUUAAAUAGGCUGAAACUGCAUUUUCAAAGUACAACUUCUAAUCUUUAUCAAAGCUGCAUGGUCAAAAUGCUAGACUUUUGAUGUUAUGUGAAAUCGUAUUUUGAAAAUGCCACUUUUGAUUUUAUACUACGAGGCAUUUCAAACAAGGAGACCUAGGUUAAAAAAGGAUAAUAAUAAUUUACAUGACUCCUCGGUGACAUCAAGAGGGUCGGUUUCAAGGGUCUCCAACGGGCGGGGCGGGCCGGGCCUAUGGGCCCGUUGACUGGUCAACGGGCCGGGCCGAGCUCAGCCCGCGGGCUCAUAGGCCGGGCCGCGGGCUUUUUUAAAUAAGCCAAAAUGGCUUUUAAAUAAAGGAAGGAAGAGGGGGGAUUCGAAUCCCUCCCCUCAAGCUUAAAUUUCAAGGCUCUAACCAACUGAGCUACAUUUCUUUUGUGCUUAUUAAAUGAAUUAGUUAUAUAUAUAUAAAAAUAUAGUAUAUUAUUUUUUUAAAAAAAAUUAAAGGCGGGCCUAAGGGCGGGCCUACGGGCGGGCCUACGGGCCGGGCCGGGCCUAAAGCGGGCCGCGGGCUUUUUGGAGACCCCUAGUCGGUUUAAUACAAAGUUUGAAGAAAUGCAUGGGUAUUGGGCAGGAUGAAUUUUGGCCCUCAAACAACAGCACGCACCCCUAAAACUAUCCUAGAAACCUCAGAGCUAUUGAGUCUUCUCUCCACCAUCCCCAUAGUCUCUUCGGACCCCUUGACUUAAACUCCGGUUUGGGUGAGCUUCUCAAAUGCUAAUAAUAGCCUUGGAAAACCAUGGUCCAUGGAUUCCACCCUUUGAACUUGAUUUGACGAGUCCUCAACACAAGAUGCCAAAAUCAAAUUUAUCCUUAUUUUUAAUAAAAAGCAUAUUUAAAUUCAAAUUCCAAAUAUAAAAUGCGAGGGUAUCGCAGUAGUAAUUGUUUCUGCUUCUUCAACACAAGCAAUACCAUAUCCGAAACAAAGUCUUAAAAAAACUGAGGACUGUAUCAAGUCACCACAUCUUUGUUUGUAGCAAGUUUGAAAAUUUUGUAAGGGAAGCUGCAUGCCUUGAAGCCCAAUAGUCGUGGCAACCUCCGGUGGGGAAUCCACAGCCUUGACUGUUGGGAACAACCCAAAGAUACGGAGUUAGUGAACUUGUUGACCAAAUUAUUACAAAGAUAAAUCACGCUCAUUACCCGUGUUGGUCGGGCCUUAUAUGAGGGAGUACCCUAUCUCAUUAGCUUAGAUUUUUUGUAGUGUAUAUGAUUUCGCAAAAGCUCAUUGAUGUGAGCAUUGGUAAUCCAUAGAAAAUCCAUGGUCAGUAGCAGCAUUAUUCUUAGCUCUGGUUAUACUUUUAAGAAUGCUGCUGACAUGGGUGUUUGGAAUUUUAGGUAGACAAGAAGCUUUAGCUUUGAAUCUUGUGUUGCUAGCACUGGUUAGGAGAAGUAACAUCAUACUAUACAUGAUCUGAGUUGGGUGUCUAUUUGGUAAUAUUUAAAAAAUUAAUUUUUAAGAAUAAUUUUGAAAUAUAAUUCUUAAUUAUUUUCAAGAACUAAAUUUUAUUAAAAACUCAAAUAUGAAAAACUAUUUUUUCGGUACACGGAAGUUUUCAAUCUAUUAUUAAUAUUUUCAAUUAUUUUUUCAUGACAUUCUAUAAAAAAUACUUUAAAUUUAUUUUAAAAAAUUAAUUAUUCUUAUAGAAUAAAUCCUCGAAAAACAGUUUUCCAUUAAAAAUCUAUCAAACUUAUUUUUUAAGUCAAGAAAAUAAUUUUUAUUUUAAAGAAGAGAAAAUUAUUUUAAAACAUAUUUUCACAUAGACUCUACAAUUUGGAGAGGAACUUCAAGUGGAUAAAAAAACACAAGUAUUAAAACUCAUGUAAGCAAGCAUGCUAAUAUGAAAGUUUUGGACUUUGUUUCCACUUUGAAAAGUUGGGUUGACAAAGAAGUUUCUAAAGUUAGGGGAUUUUGCAAAAGGUAGCUCCAAAAACUAAAGUUUAAUGCAAAACCCCAUUAUUAGGACAAAAAUAAUUGAAAACCCAUUGAUCUUAGGCUGACUAAUCAACCAGAUUCCUCACCAAAAGAUAUGUUCACACACUAAACAAUUACCAUUCAAAGUAAUUGUCAAAAUCACCAAAAUGUCAAAAGCCCAUUUCCACUAUGAGAUGGUGCCUGCCUCUUUUUUUCUUCUUCUUUAUCCUUUUCCCUCUCAUAAGCCAACCAGAGGCUAUCAGAGAUUAGUGUAAUGAUGAAGUUGGGACAUGGCCAACACCAUAAAACACAAGUCUAAUUAAUUUCCAAAGUUCAUUGUCAUAUGCAUUUCUAAGUUUUGUUUUUUCUUAGUUAAACAUUAACUCUUUUAAAAUAAUUCUCAAAAUUCUAAGUAGCUUAAACUAUCAACCCUUUUUCAUUACGAUAAAUUCUUUUAGGUUAUGUUUGGUUCCCGGAAAGUACAAAGAAAAGAAAAAAAGUGCUAAGGAAAAUGAUUUUCUCAUGUUUGGUUGUCCUAUAAAAUAUUCCAAAGAAAAUUAAAUAUAAUUAAAAUUAGUUAGAAACUUGUACAUUUUAAAAUUAUUUAAUCUUUAUAUUAAUGAGUUAAAAUAAAUAAAAUGAGUUUGAAAUAGUAAAUAAAAAUAAUUUAUCAUCUUUAACUCUAUUUUUUAUUUUCCUUCACUUUUUCUUUCCUUUUACUUUUCCUCUCUAUUUUCUUUCCUUUGGAUUUUCCCUCAAAUUUUCCAAGAACCAAACAUAACCUUAAGUUCUUGGACUGCUUGGAUGAACCAGACAAUCGUUUGUUUAAAGUUUAAGCAUUGGUGCAUUGCUCUAUACCCCAAAUUUAGAAGAGCUUUCAAACACUAGAAGCAAUAUUUUAGAGUAGAAACAUAAUUGUUUCUAGGUGUUGGAUAGGUUCCACAUCUUCUUGCAUAAUCUUACCUAUAUUUUGAAAACUCAAAAGAGAUUUGUGCUUAAUUUUUCUUAAAUAAUAUAACAUGUGAAGUAGAAUUUUAUUGACUUAAAAAUGCUAAAAAUAUAAAAUCCGAAUAUUAAAUUACAACCAUUCCACAUGGAAUAAGAAUAUGUUUGAGAGUAAUUUUAGAAAACAUUUCUAAUAUUUUUAAUACUUAAAUGAUAAAAAUUUUAAGUAUUAAAAAUAUUAAAAACGCUUUUUAAAAUCAUUAUCAAACGAGUUCUAAGUCUUGCUGAAAAGGCUACCAAAAAUAAUGAAAAUUUUUAAUUAGAAUUAUUAUCCUUCAUUUUGAACAUAUAUAUAUAUAUGUUCAUUGUUGAUAUAUAUACAUUGCCAUUGUUGGAUUGAACUUGACCCAUUCAAGCAGAAUGUAAAUGAUGUAAUGCUGAUGAGGCCAUUCUUCAUGGAUAAUGUUAUUCAUAUGCCUUGUGCUCAAUAUUGUCAAUGUAAGGGAUUCACUAGUAGUUAGGUUAAAAAUACAUAUUUCUUAAUCUAUGCUAGUGCCUUGUACGUAUUCUCCACUAUGGAUGUGAAUAUUAAUGAUAUAACCCCACUACGAAAGUGGUGAGAAAACUGCUAAUAAUACUAAGAAAGAAUAAGGAUUUUUGAACUUUUGAUCAACACAUUCAACACUUUUUUUUUUUUUUUUUGAAAUCUUUGUGAAGAGUUUUGACUAGUACCAGUAAUAAAAGGCCAUUGAGUUACUCCUUUCUCUCUAUAAAUAGCUACGUAUAUCCAUGAGCUUCACACACUGAGCUUUGCCAUACACAAAACCCCUAGCUAGCUCUUCUUCUUGGUUUCUUCUUAAUUUCUCAUCUUUGGUCUAGAUAAACCCUAAUAGGAUAAUGGGGUUUUCCACACCAUAUCAUCAUAUUUUAUCCUACAUGUUUCUUGCUUUUAUACCCAUUGGCAUGGCCUCUUCGGGACUGUCCUCUACUUUCUAUUCAGCCAAAUGCCCUAAAGCCCUCUCCACCAUUAGAACUGCAGUCAAUACUGCAGUGGCCAACGAAAACCGCAUGGGGGCUUCUUUGCUUCGUCUCCAUUUCCACGAUUGCUUUGUUAAUGCAAGUUUUCUCUCUCUUCUCUUCCAUUAUAAUUUUUUUCUUUGUCCUUGUGCUAUAUCCUCUUACAUUAUAAUUUUUUUUCCUUGUCAUUUUGGUAUAUAUAUUGUGACAAUGAAAAAAAAUUUGUAACACUACAUAAGUAUGAGUUCUCUUUAACCCUAUAAAUAUGUUUUAAAAUUGAAGUUGUUACAAAUGGUAUUAAAAUCGAUUCUCAACCUUAAUUGAGAGUUUGUUUGACCCUAUGAAAAAAGUCUAUCUGUUUAAUCCCACAAUGUCAUGAGACACUAUGAAGAUAUCGUGUUUAUAUGUCUCAUAUGAGAUACAGGAGAAAGUUUAUAAUUUUAUAUAAAUAUGAAUUAUUCUUAAUUGUAUACAUAUAUUUUAAAACUUUGAGGAUCCUUUGGGCUUAACAGAUUGUUAUAUAUUUACACAUAUCAUAUUUUAUUCAUUGUUAACCUAUUUUGAAGGAUUAUUUAAUUUAAGUGUUCACCUUUUCGUCUAUUUAUUUUUCAUUUAUUAAAAUGUUUGUAGUUUUUAUAUGCAUACGUACCGUGAAUUUUAUGUAAUUUUGUUAAUGAUAUCAUAUUUGUAUGCAUGAUCAAUAUUAGUUUAACUCACUAUUCUUAAGAUUAGUUACUUAGUAUAAUAUCAAGAUUGAAGUACUUUGUAAAAGAUUAGGAGUUGAAAUUAAGGUUAUUGUUCAUUUAUUUUCAUCUAUUCACCCACGAGAGAGAAGGUUGUCUCGGAGCAUGGGGCACGGUGCCAGGACUAUUAAUUUAAGCAUGCAGGAAUAUAUGAUCAAAUUAAUGGUUCAACGAAUUUUUACAUGAAAUUAACUUAUUAUGGUUGAUUAUUAUUUUAAUGGCAUAAUGGUUUGUUUGGAUGCAACAGGGAUGUGAUGGAUCAAUUUUAUUAGACGACACAGCAAAUUUUACAGGAGAGAAGACAGCAGGGCCAAACGCAGACUCGGUGAGGGGGUUUGAGGUGAUAGACGAUAUUAAAUCUCGAGUGGAGAGUGUUUGCCCUGGAGUUGUUACUUGUGCUGACAUCCUUGCUGUUGCUGCUCGAGAUUCUGUUGUUGCUGUAAGCAUAAUUUUAUCUCAAUAAACAUUUUCAAGAGAUACAAAAAGUAAAAAAGUGUGUUUAAAUUGACCAAAGGAAACAAAUCCUACUCGGCCACCAUAAUUUGACCCUUGAAUGAAAGAGGUGGUGGUCAAAUUUGUCACGUAGGAUUGCAGACGAAACACCUUGCAUUCUCCAUAAAGCAAUCAUCUGUUAUUUCUUAGUAAAUUCAACACAUUACCCAUUAAUUAAUUGGAGUUGACUUUAGGUGAAUCUUUAAAAAUUGAUUGAUUUGGGCUAAUUUGGUUUGUCUAUUCAAUUGGUUCUUUGCAUAUCUAUACCUACCUCUUAUCAACUUGAUCAAUAUUUAUUUUUCUGCAGUUGGGAGGACCUACAUGGACAGUUCAGCUAGGAAGAAGAGACUCCACCACAGCCAGUAUCAGUGACGCCGAGACCGACAUCCCAUCUCCGGCACUGGAUCUUGAUGACCUCAUAUCUGCAUUUUCCGAUAAAGGAUUCAGUGCCAAAGAGAUGGUGGCUCUUUCUGGUAUGUUAUCAACGUUGUCACAAAGUUUUUUCAGUUCAAUACAGUAUAUGCUAACCCUGUGGGCUUUUCUUGAAUGUAUAGGAUCUCACACUAUAGGCCAAUCCAGGUGCCUGGUGUUCAGGGACAGGAUAUACAAUGACGACAACAUCGAUUCUUCUUUUGCAGAAUCAUUGAAAUCCAACUGUCCAGACACAGAUGGUGAUGACAACCUAUCUGCUCUUGAUGAUACAAGCCCAGUUAUUUUCGAUAAUGGUUAUUUCAAGAAUCUGGUGGACAACAAGGGCCUACUCCAUUCAGACCAAGAGCUCUUCAAUAAUGGUUCGACGGAUUCUCAGGUCUCAUCUUAUGCCUCCAGCGCUACCAGCUUCUAUAAGGAUUUCACAGCUGCCAUGGUGAAAAUGGGUAAUAUUAGCCCGCUUACAGGAACUAAAGGCCAGAUUCGUGUGAAUUGCAGGAAGAUAAACUGAGCCAUGGCCCUCUGUGAUAUCUAUUUCAGCAACCCUGCAAGUUUAGUUUACGUUUGCUGUAUGCUCUCAUUGAUAAUAAUUGGCUAAACAUGCCAUGUUUGUGUGUAAAACAAGUACUAAUUAAUGGACAAGUGGUUUUCUCAUUUCUUUCACCGAACAAUACAAUAAGGUAGUACAUAACAAAGUUGUGAAUCCAUGAAAUGGAUAUCACAGAAGACAACAUGAUUUUGACAUGGACUUGGACUCUUGGGGAGAGCGAGGAGAAGAGAAGAAAUAAGCUGAAGUUACACUCUGGGAAACUGAAGGAGAUGGAGAUUUACACACAAACAACUCUCCAGGUUAUUUGUUGCAUUACCCACAUGAUAAUGUAGUCCUAGUUAAUUAAUUUUCCGGCAAUUCAUCCUGAUCUCUCCGUCUGAUCCAGUGAGAGGCUUCAUGUUGCCCAUUUUGAUCAUGGAAACACCGAAGUCUGCAAAGAAGGCUCCUGGGUUGUUGUUGUAGUAUUGCACUAGACCAUCGCUAGCACUGCCAACACCCUUGAAGAGCUCCUGAUCAGAAUGGAGGAGACCCUUUAGUUUCAGCAAGUCUUUGAAGUACUCUGUGUCGAAGUUUGCUGUUGUAGCAUCUAGAGUUGCUGUGUUGUCAUCUCCUCCCUCUUUAGGGCAUAUCCCACGCAAGGAGGCAGCAAACUUGGGUUUUAUGUUGGUCUCGUUGUAGAUCCUGUCCCUGAAAUUGGUGCAACGGGCAAGGCCAAUGGUGUGGCCGCCUGAGAGCAGAACAAGGUCAUUUAGGUCUAGCCCAUGAUUUUGAAAGUUGGAGAGAAGCGCUGGGAAGUCAAAAAUUGGACGUGGGAUAUCGCUGUUUGCAUCGUUAAGACUUGCUGUUCUCGCAUCUCUUCUGCCCAAUAAUACUUGGUAUGAUGGACCUCCCAACUAUAGCACAAACACAAUUGAUACUGUUUUGUUAAGUUUAGAUUAAGGCAAGGAACCAAUAACUGGACAAAUGAAAGAAUUAUAAGGCACUCACAAUGGCAACAGAGUCGCGAGCUGCAACAGCUAGGAUAUCUGCACAUGACACCACAUUGCCGCAGCAAGCUGAGUUAACGGCUUCUUUGAUUUCAUCUAUCACUUCAAAACCCCUAAGGGAAUUGAGAUUGGGCCCGGCUGUCUUCUCACCAGUGAAGUUGGGGGUGUCGUCUAGCAGAACUGAUGCAUCACAACCCUGCCAGUGCAACCAUAAACACAUAUAUACCACAAAGCAUUAAACUUACAUUCACAAAACAGUCAUGGAAGAAUAAACCCAUCACUAAACUUACAUUCACAAAACAGUCAUGGAAGUGCACUCGAAGCAGUGAUGCUCCAAGGCGUGGCUCAUGAUAGAUUGCCUUUUCGAGAAUUGAUCUAAUGGUGGGCAAUGCCUGCGGGCACAACUUGUCAUAAAAAUCAGGAGAGAGUUGUGCAGAUAUAGGGAUCACAAUAGCGGCAGCUACCACAAAGCACAUGAAGAAAGACCGAAAGGCAGACAUGGCUAUCGGCUCAGGUUUCUCCCAAAUUGCAGUACAGAACAGAUCAAAGGGCAUAUGUUUAUAUAGAGUGAAAAUUAUAUGACCAAUUCCCUGGUUUCUAUCAAAUUCGAUGUUAUUUUAAUUAACAUAAUUCAAUUGAUUAAUGCAAAGAAAGUUCACCUUUACAAGUAUAGAACAAGUGGGAUUUUCCAAUUGAAAACAUUGAAAUGUUUGGUUUCAGGUUACAAUCUAAUGAUCUUGGACUUGCUCAACCUUACUAUAAGAUACUUCAAAGAGGAGUUCAGUUCUUAGGAAAACAUUAACAUGUGCAUGGAUCAAAUACUAAGUCAAUCUUCAAUGAGGAUCCAAGCAAAAUCAAUGUUAAACAUGACUGCCUGAAGCAUAUGCUCAUAUAACGUAUGCUAUUGCAAUAGUACUUGCUUUUCACACUGAUGCUUGCGCCAUGGACGGCGUUGAUGAUAUUAAAUAUAAUAGGAAAAGAAAAUUUGAAGCUCCAAAAUUUAGUCUCUUACAAAAAUGGCAGAUCUGACUGUCAAAGCCUUGGAGGGGAAGAUAUGAUGGGAAAUAAAAAUGGUUUUAGUUAUUUUGGUGAUGGUUUGAUGCAUAAAGGUUACCUAAUCAACUGUCAUACUCUUAUCCUCUGAUUUGAACAGUUCAGACUUCAGCUCUGAUAGGAGGGGUUAUUUAUUCUAAUUACUAUUAUUCUAUCACCAACCCAGCUUCUAGAACUGCUUUUCUAAUUGGAGGUCAACUCAUUGAUGGAUUAUGUUUAAUACAACAUAUAAAAGUUACAAAAUCAGAGAACUUCCAAGAAAUUACAGAGACUUUGCAUUUACCCUUCCUCUUACACUGAGUCAUUUCUAUAUUUAAAAUGCUCCUACCAUUAUCCAAAUACAAUUUAGAAGCAGCAAAUGUGAGAGUCUACUCUCAUGUGUGUGUGUGUGAUACAAAGUAGCUGAAUCUGAAACACCUAGCACACCCUCAAAUCAGAUGAGGCUAUAUGCAAUUAAUCCAAAACCUUAGCACACAAAACACUGGCACUCAAUGCCCAACAGAUAACAAAGAAUACAGCUUAGAUUCUUCUGUAUGCCGAGGAUAUGAGAUAAUAUUGAUACAAUGUCAGCAAUCUUUCACAAAAUUGUUUACCAUCUAGUUAGAUAUAUAAUUUUUUUAAUAGGUAAAUUUUUUUCUCCCCAUUGGGACUUGAACCUGGAACCUCCCACAAACCAUCCCCAUCUAGUUAGAAAUAUGGACAUUGCUACAAUGAUUUGGGAUAUAAUAUUAGGGAUAAAUAUUACAAUAACAAUGGGGUUUUACUGGAAACUAAAGCAUUGCAUAUUCAGGCAGCUAGAAUGCUCCUACCAUCAUCCAAAUACAAUUUAGAAACAGCAAAUGUGAGUCUUCUCUCAAGUGUGAUACAAAGUAGCUGAGGGCAUCCCCAAUCAGAUGUGCCUACAUGCAAUUAAUCCAAAACCUUAGCAACCAAGACAGUGGCGCAGAUAACAAAGAAUACAGCAUAGAUUCUCCUGAAUGCAGAGGAGAUGAAACGAUAUUGACACAAUCUUUCACAAAAGUGUUUAAUGUCUAGUUAGAAAUGUGAACAUCACUAGAAUGAUUUGAGGGAUAAAUUUUACAAUAACAAUGGGAUUUAACUGGAAACCAAAACAUUGCAUAUUCAGGCAGCUAAGCACAAGUUUUUUUCACCAACUGCCUUCUCCCUUCAUCUUCUGGCCUGAGGGCAUCAGUUCGUAGAAUUGGUCCAUGAAAGAAAGAUGAAGCACCAUUUAUAUUCAACUUCAUCAAGAAAAAAUCGAGAAAUAAAGAGGCAGCAUAAAACUUUCCAUUCAUAAAUACUAAGGUAUGUCAUGUUCUGAGACACAGGAUUUUCCCGUUCAAGAUAAGAAAUUGAACCCAUAUACAAAGAUAAACAAAAAUUAAACUCCCAAAUUCCAAAUAAUUACACGAAAAUUGAUCUAAGAAAUCACCCAUCAAGAUCAUGGUUGGUGAAUGUUGCGAAUUGCAGCAUUGAUACUUCUACAGUCGAAAUCCAUGGUCUUCAUCCAGUUCUCAAAAUCUCCAAUUUCCUACACAUUCAAACCCAUAGAACAUGAAUAACAACCUCUCCCAAAAUAAAUCAACAAAGACAAAAGAAUCAUAUCGAGCUCGUUCAUUUUGCGAGGAGGUUGAUGGAUUCAAUUUUCAUGUAACAUCUAAACACAAAGUUAUCCCCAAUAACUUGUCGUCAAUACUUCAACACAUUAUAAUCGAGCAACUACCGCAAUCCAAAUUUAUGAUUUUCGAUUUCAAGCGAUUAAUAUUCCAUAUGCAGCUCAUCAAUAUGCAAAUUUUAAGGCAAGAUCUAAAUGUAGUGAAAUUAGAAUAGAAAUGGAAGAUACUCAGAAGUAUAGAUAAAGAACCUUUAUAGCAGUGUUGAUGGCAUGAGAAGCAGCCAGCCAUUGAUGGGUCUGCUUGGCAAAGCGGAUGACGGUGGCAGUUAAUGCUCGGCUUUCGAGUUCAAUUCGCUUCUCGUUAAUAAACGCUUCUUGAACUCCACCAUUCACAGUAUCCACCAAAAGAUCCGAAACCCUCAUCGCUGUUCUAAUUGCAUCGUUCUUUGCUUUCUCUGUUUUCAAAAAAAUUCCAAACAGAAUCCCCAAUUUCAAUUCUCGACACCUAGGGUUUUGAAGAUACCAAAACCUAGCUCAAAUUUAGUUAAAUUGAAAAAGAAGAAAAGGCAUGAAAGGAAAAGGAACUGACCGGUUUCAUCGCGGAGUUUGAGAGAAGUUUGGUGGUGGUCCUGGAUAAGUUGAAGCAGAGAAGCUUCCAAGCCGCUGGGAUCUGCAUUUGGUCUCUCGAUCUCAGCGGGAGACAACACGCGUGCACGCGCCACCGGAAGAGGCUGUGUAAACAUUUCGACCAAAGCGAAGAAGAGGGUCACGAAAAAUAGGUGAAAUGCGCGGUGAAUUUAGCAUUUGGUAGGAGAGGUGGGAAUGGAAGACCAUGGGUGCACACAUGUCUGUGCUACCCUAGCCGUUAGACGUCCCAGAUCUCACCACGUCAUCAACCGAACCUAUCAUGAGUGGAAAGAACUUUUCCUUCAAAUUGCCCAAGUAAACACAAUGAAGUGAAAGGAAAAUUCUGCAACUAGAAUGGAUUAGAUCGAUUUUUAACCAAGUUUGAUUGGAUUUAAGAAAUGUAGAAAUGAAUUUAGCCUAUUCAAUUUUCAAUUUCUUAUUUCCUAAUUGAUGAAAUCUAAACUAAAUUGAUUUUAUACAACUUAUAUUUCUUAUGAUGUAUAAUACUAAAUUAAUAUUCUAAAACUUAUAUUUCAUAUUCAAAAAAUUUGUUUUAUACUUAUCAUUAUAUAUAUUUUAUAAAUUGUAUUAAAGCAAUUUGUUAUUCCUAGGUUAGUGAUAAAUUAAUUUUUAAAAGCAUCUUUGAUAUUUCUUUGCUGAAGGUAAUGACUAAGAAGGAAUGCACGAGACCAACUUAUAACCUUUCUUAUAUUGUUUAUGCUAGCUUUCAUUGAUUGUAUAUUCUAACUGUGAUUAUACACAUAAUUAGGCUAUAAAAUAUCUCCAUUGUUUCCGACUCUUUAUAUACUUCGUAAAUAAUUAGGAUACAAGCAAUUUUUCAUCCAUUGAUGUGCUUCAUCUUUUCAUGGUAUCAGAGCAUCAUUGCUCCAACGAGUACACCUGAUCUCUCUUGCUCCAUAUCUCAAAUUUUUUCUCUUCGUUUACCACAAUGAUAAAAAAGUCCUAUAUAACUAAAUCAAAUCAAGCUUCUAUUGUUAUCACUCCUGAAGGAACUUCGAACAACAUGUUGAUGACUCUUAACUCAACAUCACAACUACCAGUAAAACUCACUGGUCCCAAUUACCCUACUUGGCGAACUCAAUUUCUAACAUUGCUCUAUAGCUAUGAUCUUAGAAGGUAUAUAAAUGGCAUAUUGAUAGAACCUCCUAUAACCAUCAAGAAGAAUGACAUUGAUGUUGUAAAUUUAGAUAACAAACUUUAGAAAAUGCAAGACAACCUCCUCCUUAAUGGCAUGCUUGUAUUUGUUUCUUAUCAAGUUGCACAUCUUAUCACUUUUAUUGAAUCAACCAAAAAAGCAUAGGAUCAAUUGCAUAUGACAUAUGCCAAUAGGUCACGAUCUCGCAUCUUCAACCUCAAAAAGUCUCUUACCAAACUCAUAAAAGACAACAUGAUAUAUGCAGAAUUUAUGCAAAUUGUCAAGACUAUUGCUGAUGAAUUAGUACUUGUUGGAAACCUUGUUCAGGAUGAUGAUUUAGUCAUUGUUGUAUUGAACGGGCUUGGAGAAGAAUUCAUAGAAAUAAAUGUUGUUUGAAUCCAAGAUAAACCAAUUUCCUUUGAAGAACUUCACAUGAGAAAUUGGCAGAUCAUGAACGACGUCUCAAAAGGCACACUAUUGAAUGAGAAACUGUGCAAAUAAUAGCCCAAUUCAAUCAAAAGAACUCUAAUGCCAAGAACAAAGGUAACAAUUUGAAUGGAAAUGGGUGCAACAACUACAAUUAUGGGAAUUAGCACUUGAAUCAAGGAACCACCAUGAAUUGUAACCAUCCAGGACAUUUCUCAUCUCAAACAAAACAUCCCAAUUUUUCCAACCAUAAUUAGCGUACUAUGAACCAAAAUUGUGUCAACCAUGUGACAAGAUUGGUUACUUCACCAAAACUAGUUGUUCUCAAUUUACUUCUUCACUAGAAUCAUAGGCUCACUUAAUGGCCAAUAACUCCAACAACCUCAACUAGAUAAUGGACUCGAAUGCCUCAUACCACAUAACAUAAGAUUUUCAGAACUUGUCUAUUCAUUCCGACUAUAAUGGCGUUGAUGACGUUAUCAUCGAUGAUGAUAAUAAUGUUCCCAUCUCCCACACUGGUUCUAUUAAGCUUAUUACUCCUAACUCUAUUUUUCAACUUAACAAUGUUUUGUGUGCUCUUUACAUCAAAAGGAAUGUGUUUUAUGUUUCCUAAUUUUUCAAAUAUAAUAAUAUCUCCAUUGCAUUUUUUUCCCAUUUUCUUUGUUGUGAAGAAUUUACAAAUGGAAGUUUUGCUUGUCCAAGGUCAAAGUAAAGGAAAUCUGUAUGAAUGACAAACCUCUUCUACUACACUCCAACCCCUAGCCAUAUGCUACAAUUCUACCAAAGUCAUAUAAAUCAAUGGCAUCAUUAUCUUGGCCACCCCAAUUCCAAAGUUCUUAAAAAUAUUGUUUUUAGUAAUUUUCUUUCUAUUUCCACAACGUCAAACCUUGAUGUGUAUAAUUCGUGUCUUUGAAAUAAAAACCAUUGUUUCUCCUUUGGCGUUUCUACUCUUAUCAAUACUAGACCACUAGAAAUAAUUUUCACGGAUGUUUGAGGACCUUCUCUGAUUACCCCAGUUAACAACUACCCAUAUUACGUGUUUUUCAUUGAUUAUUUUUUUUUAAAAUACUCUUGGCUUUAUCCCUUGAAACAUAAAUUUGAAGUCACAAGUGUUUCUGAAAAAUAAAAGGCCACUAUGGAAAAAUAUUUCAAGCACUCAUAUCCACAAUGUAUUUUGAUAAAAGAAGAGAAUUUUAAGGUUUAAAUUCCACAUUUUCCAAACAUGACAUCCAACAUCUCAUUUCUCCACCUUACACUCCACAAAUUGUGGGCACAAUCAAGCAAUGACAUAACCAUGUUGUUGAGAUAGGACUAACACUAUUGCAUCAUUAUUCCUUACCUUUUAAAUUUUGGUCUACAACUUUCCAAACAACCUCAUAUCCUAUCACUUGUCUUCCUGCACCAAUCUUGGAUAAUUUAUCUCCAUUUGAGAAACUUUUUCAACAUAUCCCAAAUUAUAACAAGCUAAAAGCAUUCUAUUGUUGAUGUUAUCCCUGGCUUUAACCCUACGCAAAUCACAAACUUCAACCCUACUCCACACUACGUAUUUUUUUGGGAUAUUUUGUGCCAUAUAAUUCCUAUAAACCCUGUUUCUAGAAAGCUUUAUAUAUCAUGUUAUGUAACUUUUUUAGAAAACAAAUUCUCAUGCCAAAAUACGGUCUCCCAUGAGUCAAGAGUCACCACACAUUUCCUUAAGUCUUGGCUAUCUCAUGAUUUUGCCACUACUCCGGCCACAAUUCUCAUUCCUCCAUCUAAACUAACCAACCCUACCUCUAACUUUCCUAUUCUCAUACUUUCCCUUUAUCCUCCAUCUUCAAUCAGUGUCAUCUUCACUAAUACCAACUUACCCAUCUUAAACAAUAAAUUAGUAGCCUCGUUGACUCUUAAUCACUAAUGGUAAGUCCCUUCAUCCUCACUAAUUCCCUACCCAAAAAUCCAUCACCCGUCUUACCACCCUAAGGCAUAAUUGUCACAUGCUCUAAAAAUCAGAUUUUCAAACCAAAAAUUUUUAGUCUUACCUCUAACUCUCUUCCCAUACCCAACCCUACUGAACCAACUACUUAUCUUCAAGCACAACAAUAUCCUCAUUGGUGUAUUGCUAUAAGUGAUGAAUUUGAUACUCUCCUUCGAAACCACACAUGGUCCCUUGUUCAUCCUUCUAAGUCAACUCAAUAUCAAUAACGCAUUUCUUUAAGGCACCCUUGAUGAUGAUGUCUACAUGCAACAACCUCCUGGCUUCACUAACAAACAAUUUCUCAAUCAUAUUUGUAAGUUAAACAAAGCCAUUUAUGAACUUCGUCAAGCUCUACUUGCAUGGUUUCAUAAACUACACACCUUUCUCAUUAGUUAUGGUUUCAUCAACUCUAUCUCAAACACUUUUCUUUUCAUCAUGCAUAAAGAACAAUAUGUGUUAUAACUUCUCAUUUAUGUUGAUGAUAUCAUUGUCAAUGGAAACAAUUUAUAGACAAUGCAAUGAUUUAUCAUUUCCUUAUCUAAUUGUUUUUCUCUCAAAGAUCUUGGAUCCAUGAAUUAUUUUUUAGGCAUUGAGGCUAUUUGAACUACUAAUGGUCUUUUCCUUUCCCAACACAAAUAUAUUCGGGAUCUUUUGGAGAAAAAUUAUAUGCAAAAUGCAAAGGAAGUUACCAAGCCCCUCUCUACCACUGAAACUUUAACAUUGCUUGAUGGUGCUCCUUCUUCGGAUGUUUCUCAAUAUCGCCAAGUUGUUGGCGCCUUAUAAUGCUUAUCAUUCACUCAACAUGAUAUUUCCUUUGCUAAGAAUAAACAGUCACAAUUUAUGCAUCGUCCCUCAAUGAAUCACUGGACAAUUGUUAAAGAGUCCUUUGCUAUCUCAAAGACACCUUACACCAUGACCUUCUUCUUCGUAAGUCUUCUAAUGUCUUUUUAUGCUUUUUCGGACUCUAAUUGGGCUACAAAUGUUAAUGAUCGCACUUUAACAUCGAUGUACAUUGUUUUCUUGGUACAAAUCCAUUAAGUUCAAGCUCCAUAAAGUAACGCAUUGUUACUCAUUUCUCUAUCGAAGCCAAAUGUAGAGUAAUUGUUUCCAUUGCUAGGUGCUAAAAUAAAUUGACUUCAAAAUCUCAUUCAUGAGAUUCUGAUUACUACUCAAAAAGAGCAUAUUUUAGAUAAUAAUUCUCAUGAGUUUCACAUCUUUUAAGUAGUAAUUAUACCUAAAACACUCAAUUAACAUGUUGUUGCCCUUGCAAGAGUUACUAACAAGUUUUAUGAAAUUUUAGAGUCAUUUCAAGGUAUGAUUUUGAUAAAUUAGUGACAAAAGAAAUGAAUCAAAUUGAAGAGAACAAAUAAAGUUGAUGAAGAUCCAAAUGCAUAAUGAAAGAAGUAAUGCAAUUGGUUUGGACCGGGAUUUGGAGUUGAUUUGGAGGUGAUUGAGGUGGAUUCAAAAGAAAGAAAUGGAAGAAAUGACAAAAGAGUUGAAAAAUUAAAUAUUUCUAUUUCGUAUGAUCAUGUGAAAAUCUCGCAUGACUAUGUGAAAUGGACCAGAAUGAAUUUUUGCUGCAAACAAAAGGGAAAACCUCAAAGCUGAUUUCGCAUGAUCAUGCAAAAUUUUCGCAUAGUCAUGAGAAAUGCUCCAGGAAGGCGAAAAUUGUUGUUGUUGCAUUUUUUUAGUUCGCACAAUCAUGCGAAAUUGCUGGAUCUUGUGCGAAAUGACUAUUUUAUUACUAAACUCCAGAUUUCUUGGUGAAGAAGCCUCUGUAAAACCUCUUAGAUGAUGCUAAGUGUCCACUUGACCUUGACCUAUAAAUAAAAACUUGAUUUUCUCAUUUAGGGGACUUUUAGACAUUUCCAAUUGUAAAAUUUUCUAGAUUUUUUCUCUCUCUAUAAAAUUCUCUAUUUUUCUUCAUUUUCUCUCAUUUUCUCACUAGCCAAACAUGCCUUGAGAGACUAAAUCUCCAAGCAUGAGUGGCUAAAUCUCAUUUUUCUCGGAGGAGGGAGAAUCCAGAGGCAAAAUAUAUGGUGAAUUAGAUAAAUGAGCUUGAAUUACACAAGUAAUUUGAUCCAAUUGAUUGAUUAAUUGAAUUUUGAGGAUUUUUCUCUUCAAAUUGUCUUGGAUGAUUUCUACAAUGCAAACUAGGUAGAUUCAUCAAAUUCUUAAAACUAGAUUUGAUGAGAUUGAAUAGUUGCAUCGUGUGAAUCAUUGGAAGAUAAUUUAAAAUAAAUUGAAUAUAUGAUUUGAAUUGAUCUCUUGGAUUAAAUGACCUAAUUUGAAGAGAAAUUAGAUCUAGACCUAGAGUUAAAUAAAAAAUCGAUUUAGAUGAAAAUUUAGGUUUUCAAUCUAACUUGAUGAAAAGUAGAUCUCAAUAUCUAUUCACCAUAAAAAUUGUUUUCUAGAAAAUCCUAACUCCGAAAAUUUCAUCUCCUAUUAAUUUUCUUCUAUUUUACAUUUCAUUUUUCUUCUCAAUUUGAGACCAUUGUUAAAUUCAUUUUUUUUACCAUGAAUUUUCAAAUCAAUUUCACUUGAUCACAAUCAUUUCUUACCCUUUCAUUCAAGCCUUAAUUAUCGAGAAUAAUCCAUCCUAGUGGACGACACCUAAAAACCACUAUACUAUGGUAGUUUGUACUAAAACCAUUUUUGAUCAGGUACAAGCUACUCUAGAAUAGUGAAUUAGGUUAUAAAUUUUGUUUUGAUCCAAUAAACGACGAAAAAACCAAGCGAUUAGAUUCAUCUCCACAUUCCUGCCACUCCUGUGAUUUACUAUGACAAUAUUGGAACAAUUGAUCUUAGCGCUAACCUAGUGUUUCACUCAUGAAUGAAACAUAUUGCCAUUAACUUUCACCUAGAACAAAUCUUAGAUUUUCUAUCAACACAGGCUUGAUAAAUAUUUAAAUAAAAAAAAAUACUUGAAGAUGGAUGAGUAGACUUCAAUGGAUUUAUAAAAAUGAGAGUGAGUGGAUAUCUAAGUAAUAUAUCAAUAAUUAUUACAAUAUGUGUAACUCUUAAAAUGAUAACUUACAAAAAUAAUAAACUCUAUAAUCUAAAAAUUUAAGAUGUUUCUAAUUCCAUUAUGAUAUUAAUAGAGAAUAUAAGAAAUUUACUUUAAAGUUAAAUAUGCAUAAAUAUCAACAUAUAUAAACAAAUUGUUUAAUUAAGAAAAGAAUUUAUGGCAUGGAAUCUUUAAUUUAGAGAUCAAAUUUUUCUAGAUAUAUUAUAAGAUUGAGAUUAGAAAAUUAUUAUGGCUCAUCAUUUAAUAGAGUUUAUUAGCAGUUUUCUUCCAAUGACCUCUUCUUAAAAAGAAAAAAAAAUAGAAAAAAAAAAAGAUACAAAGAACAAUGUAUCAACUUAGGCUAAUUUGACACCUAUAAGAAUCAUAUCUCUAAGGUAUAAUUUCAUGUUUAAUAACACGAACUAUUAUUUAUCUAAUCAAAACUAAAAUGAUGAAUAUUUGAUUCUACAAUUAAAUUGUAUGAUAUUUCAAUAACAAGCACAAUUUAUUUUCGGGGAAUGAUUAAUAUUACUUUUAAAUAUGAACAUUUGAUUUAAGUUCUAAACCUAGAUUCUUUUUUGCCUUAUGCAUCAAUCAUACAUAAAUGUUCAACAAAAAUGUUUAUAUAACUAUGCCUAAGCCAUUUAACUGUAUGAGUAUCAUUAAUUUAGAAGUCUCUUAGAAGAAUAAUAUUUAAAGAUUAUUAGCAACAAUAAAAGUCAUACAAAAAUAAUUCAACUUUAAACAAUAGAAAUUAAAAAACAAAAUACCUACCAAGUGAGAUUUGCAAUAUGCUAUCUUUAAAGAAUAAUUUUCUCUCUUUUGAUACUGUCUAAAACGAUAGUCAAACAAUGUUUUCUCACAUAAGAUACAAUAGUCAAAUUUAUAGGAGAUGUGCCUUUACAAAAUCGAUGGAGUUGCAUCACUCAGUUAAGAUGUUCCUCUCAACAUAAUGAGUAAAGGAGUAGGUAAAUAUGAGAAUAAAAUUGAUGAUGAUAUUGAAAUAAGACAAAUGAAAUUGCAAAAAAUAGAUUUUUUUUUCAUGUUUGUAAAUUCAUUGAUUACCUUUUUUUCCUUGUACUAAUUAACUUAAUUAUAAAAAAACAUAUUGAUAUUUCUAACCAACUUUGCUUCUCACCAAUGAUUUGAUCAAUUCUUCUAAUCACAUGACAAAAAAAAAUAAAAAAAUAAAAAAUAAAAAAAAAUAAUAAUAAUACUUUUUCAAUGACUUACCAUUCAAGAAUUCUUGAUUUGACAAUUGGUUAUAGCUGUAUGAAGAUUGUAUUUACCUUUAUAAAAUUUUUUUAUGCUGUCAUGAAACUCUUAAAUAACAUGUUAACAUCAACGUCAAUACUACCUUUGCAUAUAGUCAAGGUGGCUUAAGAUAAGCUUAAAGUGAAAAAGAUGCAUCACAAAGUAUGAAUCACACAACAUAUCUCUAACAAACUUUGCUUCUCACCAAUGAUUUGAUCAAUUCUUCUAAUCACAUGACAAAAAAAUAAAAAAUAAAAAAUAAAUAAUAAUAAUAAUAAUAAUACUUUUUCAAUGACUUACCAUUCAAGAAUUCUUGAUUUGACAAUUGGUUAUACCUGUAUGAAGAUUGUAUUUACCUUUGUAAAGAUUUUUUAUGCUAUCAUGAAACUCUUAAAUAACAUGUUAACAUCAACGUUAAUACUACCUUUGCAUAUAGUCAAGGUGGCUUAAGAUAAGCUUAAAGAGAAAAAGAUGCAUCACAACAUAUGGAUCACAUUACAAAUUUUUGGCCAUAAAAAUCUUAUCGAUUCAGUAAUAAAUCUAUAGUAAUAAUACACUUUGAUUGGUGAUUGAUUAAUUGGUGUCAAAAUUGGGCCCUAAAAAUGGACUAUGGUGGCCUUUGCCAUGACCAAAAGUCGAAUAAUUUCUUAAUAACAAUGAGAGAAUCUUUCUAGAUUAAGUUUCCGACAACACUGACUUUACCAUUAAAUGUAUGAAGAUUACAAAUCAAUAAGCUUUAAGAUAUGACAAAUGAUUUAAUAAUUUAAGAUUAACUUUAAAGUAAAAGGAAGUUAUGAUUUAGAUAGAGACAUGGAAUAUUGAAAAUGUCAUGUAUGCAAUAAUCAAUGCGUAGAUACAACCUUCCACCUAACUUUAAAAUUUUUUUUUUCUUUUCCCUUUUUUUCUUUCUACUCUAUGGAAAAAUCCCCCUUUAUUAAUUGAGCAGCUUUAUCACAUGAUACCUAACUUUGAAAAUGUCCCCUUUAUUUAUUUAUUUACUUUUUUUUUUUGGCUUUUUCCAUAUAGUAAGCAAGUCAAAUUUUGGAAGAUAACGAGACAAAGAGGUUGCUGCAUUGAGUUAGGUGGGUCCCAUCAUAAAUUGCCUUUAAUUGAGAGCAUGCACAUGCAGAUUGACUGUUGUGGCGAAAUCAAAAUUCGUUAUGCUAUUUGAAAAGCACUGCAGUGCCACGUGUGCGGCCAAGGUGUCAUGUAUAAUUCGAUGGGUUUAUAUCAUGGUGGUAUUACUUUACACUUUGAUUAUUAUUAUUAUUAUUAUUUUACAAUCUCAUAUGUUUAUAUCAUUAUUUAAUAAUUUUCACUUUAUUAUAUAUUUUGAAUGACCCAAAUCAAAAGUUUGAUAUAUAUUUUUUAUACGUCAUAUUGUUUCAUAAUCCGGGUUUCAUGGUUUCGUACUUUAUAUAUUAUUCCAUCAUUUUGUAUUUAAAUUUUAUUAUUUUUUCAUAUGUUUAUAUUUUUAUUGAAUGACCGACAUUUUAUCGUACAUUCUCAAUGGUUAAUGAUUAAGAUAAAAAAUUUGAUAUGAUAUGAAAUUAAUAUUAUAAUUUUUUUUAGAGAGAACAAGGGGGUUAUUUGUCAAUCUCAUAAUUAUUAUUUUUAAAAAUGUCAUUUUUUUUUUCUCUUCUAGUCAAAAUUUGGGAGAUAGUCUCGCCACAUUCAUAGCUGUAUUGGGCCCAUGGUGGUUCAAUAACCAUCUGCUUUAAUUGACAAUACACAUACAAGUCAAUUACCACACAAUGCCGCAGAAUUAAAAAAAAUGUAAAAAUAAUAAUAAUAAUAAUAAUAAUAAUAAUAACAAAGAAAAAUAAAAAGUGAAAAGUGAAAUUUAAUGGAAAUGGUUGAUGGGUAAUGACAAAUGACACGAUAUUUUGAAAUAUGUAAGAUUUUAAACAAUUUAAGUGAAUUUUUUUUUUCAUAUUUUUUUUAUUAUAAAUCAAAUAAAAAAUUUAGAUUUUUUUUUCUUUCUUUUUUGUUCUUCUUGUUGUUGUUUAGUUCAAGUCAACUGAGCAAUAGCUUCAAAUUUGAAGCGUGUCACUCAGUUACUUACAACUAUAUAAAAAUCAUGGUCAAAUUUCAAUACUUAAUUGACUAAACCCCAUUGCUCUUGAGCAUUCAAUGAACAUCUACAAAAUUAGAAAUUUGCACGUUACUUUCCAGCCACCAGAAAGGAAGGGGCACAUAACAACUGAGCCGACAGAGCCGUAAAGUAGGAAAUUUUGAUACUAUACUCAACUUACCAUGUGAUCUGUUAAAAUAUAUGAGUAAAUUUCGACCGUUAAAUUAAAAUAUUAAAAAAAGUAAGAUUUAGAUAUAAAGAAAUAUAACUUUAAGGACACGUAACAACUGAGCCGACAAAGAUGUAAUAAUAUAGGAAAAUUUGGUCUUAUACUCAACUUAUCAUCUGAUUCGUUAAAAUAUAUGAUUAAAUUUUGACCGUUGAAUAAAAAUAUUUAAAAAAGUAAGAUUUUGAUAUAAAGAAAUAUAACUUAAAGGGCACAUAACAACUGACGCGUAAAAAGUAGGAAAAUUUGGUCUUAUACUUAACUUAUCAUCUAAUUUGUUAAAAUAUAUGAUUAAAUUUGAACAGUUAACUAAAAUAUUAAGAAAAAUAAAAUUUAGGUAUAAAGAAAUAUAACUUAAAUAAAAGUUAUAUUUAAUUUUUAGAAAGUAUUAAGAAAAGUAUAUAUAAUUUUAAUUAAUUUAAAGUAGGAGAUAAAAACAAUUUAUUAUCUUUAAUCUAUUUUUUUAUUUUUUUUAUUUAUUUUAAAAUUUAGCGAAACCAAACAAAUUGAAAACAAUGCCCACUUUUUUUUGUUGGGAAAACAAUGCCAAUGUAAGAUUAAAUUUGAAUAAUUGAGUGAAAGUAUUUAAAAAAAUAAAAUAUAAAUAAAAAAGAAAAAACACGAGGUGUAUAAAAAACUAAGACAUAAAUAUAGAAACAAUAAAAAUAUUUAUGAAUUCUAAAGCAAUGAGAUUCUUUUCAAUCACGUAACCAUUUAUAAUUAUAUCACACUUUUUGUUGCGAUGUAAUACUCCAAUUCACGCUAGCGCCAUGACCAAAAGCAAAAAGUAGAAACUAUUUUAGAAAAUUUCUAAGGCAUGCAGCGUAAUGACUCAAGUGGAUUCUCUUGGUGUACAAAUGUCUAUGGGAUUGAUUUGAUCCCUUCUUUCUCUAGAAAAAAUUUGACUGGUCUUGCAAGAACCUUUCCUCCUCUGUGUUUGGUCCCAUCAUUGACGGGCAUUUAAUAAAGAAACUAUCCAAAACAUUUUACCUAAAGAUAAUGAAAGAAACCAAAGGAAAAAAAGGAAAAAAAAUCUCAAAGGUAUUCCGUUGCUCCACACUUGGGUGGUAUGAUAUGAUUUGUGUUUGUCUUUAUUCCAAAAUAUCUACCAAGAAAAUCACAAACUAAUCCAAAUUGUCCUGGCUAAAAAUUUGUCAAAUCAAUCAAAGUAGCUUAAGUUUCAAUCAUUUUCACAUGUGUUUUUUUUCUUCUAAAUUUCAAUAGGUAGUAGUAAUGCUUACUCAUCAAGUAAAUUGGAUGCACCACUUGUUAGACAAAUUGAGGUCGCAAGGAGCAGGUGGCUAGCCACCAUAGUAGUUGGAAUGCUUUCAACAUUUCACACCAUGUUUCAAGGUUUUAUAUUGUGUGGGUGGUUGGUUGAUUAGGGUUUUGCAAUAACUAAGUCCUAACUCCUAAGUACAAUGUUGAAUGGAAUAUUUUUUAGAAUAAUUUUUAAGUAUUUUAUGAUCAAUAAGAAGUAAAAGGCAGUCCAUCCUUACUGAAAAUGAUUAGAAAUAUUUAUCGUUUAGUGUAAAAUAUAUAAUUCUUCUAGAAGAUUAAUUUAUAACUACUUAUCAUGAAUGAUAUCAGUUAGAAGUUAAAUCUCUAUUGUUAUGAAAUGUUAUAUUUGAUCGAUGACAACAAAUUAAAAACUGAUCUAUUAAACUUAUUAAAGUACAAAACAAUACAAUAGUACGACUGUACUAUCAUACUUAAAAUGACAAAGAUAAUUUAAUGUGAAGUCUAAGUGUCUAUUUAGGAACCGUUUUCAAAUUUAAAACACGGUUUUAGAACAAAUUUUCUUUAUUUUUUAAAUCAUCUUAAGGUGAACUAAACGCAUCAACCAAGAUGAUAUUUUAUAGUUGCCCCUCCAAUGUAAUCUUAUUCUUGAAUACGAUACAACGAAGAACUAUUUUUAAAAAAUUACUCUCAAAAAUUGAUUCCUAAGAAUCAUUCUUGCAAACAUGACCAAACAAACCAUAAUUAUUUCAAAAGUUCAUAUCUUCUCGUGUUCUCAUACCAAGUCCAAAAAUCAAAAUACCAACAACAAACUGUUUUCUGACAACUAUCAAUUUUGAUUUAGUAAAAUAAAGUAGAAGCUCUUGAUUAUUUGAACGGUCAAUCAACCUCAACAAGGUCUCAUCUGCAUGGGGUCUUGCACCAAACCUACAAAAUUAAAUGCAUUUCAAUGGAGCCCACAUUUGAAAAAUUUUGCGUUUGUCUGGAAUAUCAAACAUUGCGACCGCUUCAUUUCACGUAAACGCGUCUUGAUGCUAAUUGACAUCUAUUUUUCAUCGUUCUCAACUAAUUAAUGCCCCCUGCUUACUUUUCCAAACGUAGAAAUGUGAUCCCAACCAGGCCAUGCACUACUGGUCAUGAGGAUUAGGUAAUCUGCCAAAGGCCAUACGCCUCUAUAUAAAACCCUACCUGGACUGCCUUGUGCUCACCACACUCCACUCUUAAACCCUAAAUUUUUCUUUUUCUCUUUUCUGGCUGAUUAGUCCUAUGGCUUCCUCUUCUUUCUCCAUUGUUGUUGUGGCAUUGGGUGUCCUCGCGCUCUUUGCGGGGAGCUCUUCUGCUCAACUCUCGACCAACUUUUACUCUAAAACUUGUCCUAAGGUCUUUGAUACUGUGAAAUCUGGAGUUCAAUCGGCGGUUUCGAAAGAACGCCGCAUGGGCGCUUCUCUCCUCCGUCUCUUCUUCCAUGAUUGCUUUGUCAAUGUAAUCCUUCUAGCUUCUUGUUCUUAGUGUAUGGGCCUGAGUGUUGGGUCAUGCAUGUUUCAUAUUUGAAGUCUAAGAAAAAUCUUAGAUAAGGUCAUAGGGAUUCUUAGCUCAAUUUUGGGUUAAUUUGGGAGUGUCUUUUACGAGGUUGCUGUUUUAAUUUUUGUUCUUAGGUUUUUUAUUUUCCGGAGUCUUGGGCCUUGCCGACAUCCAACCUUCACAUUAAACAUGUACUACUUUUUUCUUUGGUCAAAGGGGUAGCCCGAAUAGCUACUGCAUGAGGUGUAGGUUAAACAGAUUGGCUGGGAAGGUCGUAGUUAAACACUUGAACUCACCUCGAGAUUCGUUCUUGACCAGGUCAAGAGCUUCUUAAUAUGCUUUUAGGUGCAUUUAUAGUUUAACAUGGUAUCAAACUUGUCCUUAAAGUCGUGAGUUUGAGAGAGUUUGUAGAUCAUUAUUUCAAACCUAUCUUUGAGGCAAGAAGGUGUCGGGACUAACUUGGAUUAGCCUGAUAUACAUUGUUGGUCCAUAAUGAUAAUAGUUCAAACUGUUGGUAGCUUAAUAUGCAUAGUAUUAAAUUUACCCAUGAAGUCAUGAUAUACAUUAUUGACUUACUAUCUAACCAUUCUAAGUUUUUGAAAUAUAGUUUUACUAAAUUGUUAUGCUUUUAGGGACUAAUUCUUUUUGUUUCUAGCCAUGCCCUGGAAAAUGAAAUUUGAAAUGAAAAGGCCUGGUUGCUAGAACACCCCAAUUUUCAAAUGAAAUGGCCUAGAUACAGCUUGAGAAGAAAUAAAAAGUCAACAGGCUUAAAAGAGGUGGUGUCCUCAACUAAAAAAAAAAAAAAAAAAAAUCACAAAAAAUCAUCUUAAUAAUUAAUAUCUGCUUCAGACUGUUGUUCUCCAUUAAUUUAUCAUAGAAAGUAAACGAUACAAGCUAGCUAUAGUUAUUAAUAUGACCAAUUCAUACUUACUCUGUUUGAUGCUUGGUGUUUAAUUACAGGGCUGCGAUGCAUCAGUCCUCCUCGACGACACCUCUUCCUUCACUGGCGAGCAGACCGCCGUCCCCAAUAAGAACUCCAUCAGAGGCCUAAAUGUGAUCGAUAACAUAAAGUCGCAGGUGGAGAGCGUGUGCCCUGGUGUAGUCUCCUGUGCCGAUAUCAUAGCCAUUGCUGCUCGCGACUCGGUCGUGAUUGUGAGUUCAUAAU
This 40601-nucleotide long non-coding RNA is filed under the name Vitis vinifera (wine grape). Its description in RNAcentral is "long non-coding RNA (VVIN_LNC001777)". The record is from RNAcentral. Lineage: Eukaryota; Viridiplantae; Streptophyta; Magnoliopsida; Vitales; Vitaceae.